AUUCACGUUACCCUGCAAUCACUGAAUCGUGGAGCACGUUUUACGGUCAGACGGCCCCCGCCGGCGCCAGGCCGGCCGAGAGGCGGGGCAGGCACCUGUCUGCGGCACGGCGGGGAGGCGGGCCGAGGGAGGCAGCCGCUGCCGCGCGCCUCAACACAGCAAGUUUCACGCGGCUGCUCGCUCGCUGAAGUAGUUCAACUCGUGGACAGCUUUACCAGGCGGCAGAAGCAGAGCUGCGCUGACGGCCGGGCCCCGCACGCCGCCGGCUCCCACAGGGCUGGCCCCGCCCGGCCCCCGAGCCGCACCGCUGAGGUCAGGGCCUCCAAGCAAACGCGGACUGCCGUUUUUGUCAGCUGGUAGACGUCCUUGCUGAAGAGUAACAGCUUGUCGUGAACGCCGCAGACUACUUAAGCAGAGUCUAGCAAUAAUAAGGAAUAUAUACAGUGCGUGAGGAGCUAAUCUGAAGGCUACGUGGGAACAAAAGUGAAGCCCUGAAUUGGGAUAUCCGAUGCUGAAUCACCAUAAAGCUUAUGUCAUGGAUGAGAAGUUGAAGAACAAGAGUGCUUCAGUUCAGUCAACUAUCUGGGAGCCUACAUCAGAGAAAUUCCAGCCUCAACAAUUUUGCAGUUUAUACUGGUUUCAAUGAUGAAAAUAAAGCACAAGUUUUGAAAGAUUCUUAUAAAUCUGGCUUUACAGUUGGUCAUCUCCCAUAAAUGAAGGAGUUCCUUGCUGUCUUUAAUCUGAUUAAAUGCAUAUUAACACUCUUGCAAACUACUUGCACGGCACUUGCACCACUCAACUUGCCAUUUCCCAGCUUUUUCAAACACAAAGAAUUUCUUUUAUUUUUGCACUGCACAACACUGGUUAACUUCUGCAGCGUAUCAUUCACCAAGAGACACAGAAUCGGCCAUGCAACAAAAACAGUACUCAAUUUGGUCAUAUAAGACUAUCACAGUAAGCAAGCAUAUAGAGGUGUAGGUAUCCCAAAGGCUGGCAUUUCCUAACUUUUUAUCACACAUUGCUAGGCUUUUGUAUGUUUUAUGUGAUAGCUUCUUUUAAUUAUAGAAUUGUACACAUCACUGACUACACAAAGUAUACACUUUCUUGAAUUACUACCAUGAUAAAUUAGGCUUGAUACUUCAGCUUAUGAUCUACUUUGCAUUUGAACAGAAGGGGAUUUAAAAAAAAAAUCAAAAGGCAAAGAGAGUAUUACACAACUCAAAGAGAGUAUUACACAAGGGAAUCAUUACACAACUCUAAUUACUCCCCAGAAUACCUAGUAAAUUUCUUUGUAAUCAAUCACAUCCUCUCCAAGAACAGCAGAAAUUUUACUUCAUGUUUUGAAAGCAACAACAAAAAACAGACCAAACAAGGAAAACUUCUAAUUGUCUAAAAUAUCAGAAGUACAUAAAGACAAGAAGUAGUAACAGCAGAUCUCAGCUUUCUUUCUAAAAACAUCAAGAAACAUCUUGGAACAAAACAGUCUCUACAAUAUUUUUAAGUACAACAUUUUAAUAAUUAUUUUUACG
Molecule: long non-coding RNA, 1529 nt
Organism: Numida meleagris (helmeted guineafowl)
Lineage: Eukaryota; Metazoa; Chordata; Aves; Galliformes; Numididae
Exons: 3
Source: RefSeq, a predicted model, not a curated record